AUUGAACGCUGGCGGCAGGCCUAACACAUGCAAGUCGAGCGGAGCGGCGGACGGGUGAGUAAUGCCUAGGAAUCUGCCUGGUAGUGGGGGAUAACGUCCGGAACCGGGCGCUAAUACCGCAUACUAUCAGCUGAGCCUAGGUCGGAUUCGCUAGGUGGUGGGGUAAAGGCCUACCAAGGCGACGAUCCGUAACUGGUGUGAGCGGGUGAUCGGCCACACUGGGACUGGAACACGGCCCAGACUCCUACGGGAGGCAGCAGUGGGGAAUAUUGCACAAGGGGCGCAAGCCUGAUGCAGCCAUGCCGCGUGUAUGAAGAAGGCCUUCGGGUUGUAAAGUACUUUCAGCGGGGAGGCGUUAACCGCAGAAGAAGCACCGGCUAACUCCGUGCCAGCCGCCGCGGUAAUAC
Molecule: ribosomal RNA, 407 nt
Filed under: uncultured bacterium
Lineage: Bacteria
Description: partial 16S ribosomal RNA
Rfam family: Bacterial small subunit ribosomal RNA
Source: RNAcentral